RNAcentral lists this long non-coding RNA (1360 nucleotides) under Sarcophilus harrisii (Tasmanian devil). Its description in RNAcentral is "lncRNA (ENSSHAG00000021918.1)". Lineage: Eukaryota; Metazoa; Chordata; Mammalia; Dasyuromorphia; Dasyuridae. The record is from RNAcentral.
CGCAUCAACCUAGUCUAUAUAGUAAAUAGUAGAGGACCUACUCUAAAAGUAGGUAGUACUUAAAUCUACUUUAAAAGUAGAUUUAAAUCUGCUUCUGUGACAGGACAAUCACUAUCUUAAUAGAUCUGUUUCCCUUUUUGUAUUAAAUAACCUCUGAAGUCUCUUCCCCCAGCACCAGAUCAGUGAUUCUACAUAUAUGAAAGGAUUUAGGGUCUUCUAUCUCUGGAUCUCUUGAUUCUAAUAGCCUAUCUGAUCUUUUUCCCAUUAUAAAUACAUUGACCACCUGAUUCAUUAGUCUCUUAUGGACAUAAGUAGUAUGAAAGAAUUGCUUAUUGCCUGGUUAUUCCCCUAGAAUCGUUGAAUCUGGGUUCCUGAAGCUUCAAUAUUGAAAACUAUAUCUGAGGAAACCCCAUCAAAGUCUGUUGGUGAGGUCCAGUCUGAGAAAGUACAUAGGCAUAAUUUUUUUUCCUUGACCUGGGAGUUCUGGAAUUUGGCUAUAAUAUUCCUGAGAGUUUCCUUUUGGGAUCUCUUUCAGAAGGUAAUGAUGAAUUUUUUUCAAUUUCUAUUUUACCCUCUGGUUCUAGAAUAUUAAAACAGUUUUCCUUGAUAAUUUCCUGAAUGAUAACAUCCAGGCUCUUUUUUUGAUCAUGACUUGAUAUUCCUUGUCAUCAUCAUAGCUUUCAAUUGUCAGAAACUUUUUCUGUUGUCCACUUAUUUUCCUAGUCUAUUACUCAGCUUUUAACUCUUUGUUAAAGUAGGGCUCUGUUUCCAGAGUGGAGGUUGCACUGUCUCAGGCUUCUGGGGUUUUGUGCAGCUGUUUUCAGAGAUCCUUCUAUCUGACCAUAAGCACUCUUUUCUGUCCUGGAACUGUUAGGGUCUCCACCCCCCCUAUAGCUCUAAGAUUUAGUGUGCUAAAUUAACAAAGUUGUACUUUGCUGACACUGGGGAUAGGGCUGUGCUGGAACUGCACACUGGACUCCUACCCCAUUGCCACAGAUCCUCUCCGUUGACUUUCUAAGUCCUCCCUAGUGUCCUUGAGCUGAGAAGUCCAGAAGCCUCCCGCACUGCUGCUGAUUCAAAGGUCCCACUGAGGCUUGGGCUGGGGCUGUGCUGCACCAGGAGUGUACACUGGACUCCCACCCUCUUGUCACAGAUCUUUUCUGCUGUCUUUUUAAGUUGUCUUUAGCUGGAAAAUGUUUUACUCUGUCUUUUUGGGUGUUCUGAUGCUCUAACAUUUAAGAGUCAUUAUUUCAAGAAUUUGGAGUGGUUUAGCACAGAGGUUGGGCAAGUUCCUGUCUUUACUCUGCCAUCUUGGCUCUGCCUCCCAAGACACAAUUUUUCUUAAGUACCACUUUGGCUG